Molecule: long non-coding RNA, 384 nt
Organism: Cotesia glomerata
Lineage: Eukaryota; Metazoa; Arthropoda; Insecta; Hymenoptera; Braconidae
Exons: 3
Source: RefSeq, a predicted model, not a curated record
AUUACAUCGAUUGAAAAAAAAAAAUUUUUAGACUUUUGCUACUUUCUGUAUCAUUGUCGGGAGUCAAUGUCAUGUACUUGUUGGUUAAAGUUGUUGAUGGUAUUAUGAAUGAUAACACUUAGGAUGAAAGCUGAUGUGCUGUUGGAUUUAGGCGGCAAAAAUUUUGACGUAAGAUGGCGCUUGAUUAAGUUUAGCACGCUUGUGUUACAGCGAGAGAUGCUGCUCAUGAAUUUGGAUCUUCUGAUGUUUUCAACAAAAGUAGCAGAGUUCAUCACCGGUAAGUGAUAUUAAUUUGUAUAUCUGUUUUAAUUAUAUAUGCGAUUAUGUAUUAUAAUUUUAAGGCCACAUCUUCAGUUCCGUACUUCUUUGUAGAAUACUUUAUUU